This is a non-coding RNA of Pelobates cultripes (western spadefoot toad), 576 nucleotides long. The record is from the annotation of a GenBank genome assembly. Lineage: Eukaryota; Metazoa; Chordata; Amphibia; Anura; Pelobatidae.
UUUAUUGUUGGUCAAUUCAAGCAAAGUCAACGUUUCAGCUUUCAUCAGGACACAAAGAGCCUUUGUUGACUUUGCUUGAAUUGACCAACAAUAAAUUGGAUUAACUAAACCCAAGAGUGCCAGUAAUUUUUAGAUUUUUUUUUUAUAUUAAAAAAAACAACAACAACUCUGUAUUGCAGAGUAGCUGUUGACAUAGUUGUGCAGGAACUUUGUUGACUUUAGAGAACCUCGGGCAAAUCGCACAUCCCAGUGGCGGCGACUUUGCAUGUGGAUGUGAUCCAUAUCAACUUUCGAUGCCAGUUUCUGCGCCUACCAUGGUGACCAUGGGUAAUGGGGAAUCUGGAUUCCAUUCCGUACAGGGACCCUGAGAAACAGCUACCACAUGCAAGGAAGGCAGCAGGCGCGCAAAUGACCCACUCCCGAUGCGGCAAGAUAGUGACGACAAAUAACAAUACCGGACUCUUUAGAGGCUCUGUAAUUGUAAUGAGUCCACUUGAAAUCCUUUAACUCUGAUCAAUUGGAGGGAAGUCUGGUGCAGAACCACUGACCCGUGCGUGCUGCAGAUGAAACUCCACU